Molecule: long non-coding RNA, 1258 nt
Organism: Herpailurus yagouaroundi (jaguarundi)
Lineage: Eukaryota; Metazoa; Chordata; Mammalia; Carnivora; Felidae
Exons: 3
Source: RefSeq, a predicted model, not a curated record
AUCUGCUGAAUUCUAUCCCAGGGGCUCCCAACAGUGAAUGUGCAUGUGGGAAGGGUGUACUUGUUACUCUGUAAGACAACAUUGAUGUGGAGGCACCAUGGCAGGCUAGAGAGGUUACACCUUGCCUCAGACAUUCACAUUCACUUAAACACUGUUCUGGACAAAUAUAAACUUUUUACGGGGUCUGAUUCAGCCUAGAGGCAGUUAGUUUGAGUCCCCUGACAUAAAUCCUCAAAAUAUGGUUGGUUCUCAGGUUAUACCAAAUAUAUAAUGAACUUGACUUGUGGUUUAGUGUUGAACAGAUCUACUCUGAUGGGAGAAAUGAUAAAAAGAAGCCAUUGGAUUGCUUCUAAAUCUAAGUCAUCAUCUCUUUCUACCAAAGCCAUGCCCAGGGUUUCACAAAUAAGUGACCACUUAGGCAGAAAAUCACUCAGAAGAUGGUAAGGAGAAGAGGGGGUUGGUUUGUUGGUUAGUGCUAUGCACUCAGCACUCCACACACACACCAUUUUUUUCUUUAUUUGGACUCCAGGCUGUAACAGGUUGUGUCUAAGCCUGGAAGAUGGUCAAGUACUCUGGUAAGAGGUCAUUCCUGGUCACUGGGGUGGGAAUCCCAGAAUGUGUCAUUGCGUUAGGAAGGAACCCAUGGUUGGGUUGAGCGAGGGCAAUGGAAAAAAGGGAAAAGGUCUAGGGAUUAACAUCAAAGAAGGAUAUAGUAAGAGGAAUUAGAAGAGUAGCAAGUAAUUAAAGGGAGAACUCUUUACAUGAUAAAAUCUCUGAAAGUAAGAAGACUCUUCAGGGUUUCAUCAACCAGUUUAUUUAGUGAAAUUUAACUUAUACUCCCUAUGUAACAGCAGCUUGAAGGAAGUCUGGCUGUGGAACUGGUCUCAAAGACCCCCCAGCACCCAAGGCAUGUGUGGUGUAGGACACAACUGGGAGUCACAGAGCAAGGUACCGUGUUGGCAAAGAUUUUGAAGUCUGACAAUGCAACUGGGAAAAAAGAGAACCUUCAUAUACCGCAGAAGAGAAUGGAAAUUGGUUUGACUGUUCCGGAGUGCAAUUUGUUAACACCUUAUAGAGCUAAAAAUGCACCAGUUCAUCAAACCAGACAUACCACUUCUAGGUAGAAACUGUCUCGAGAUCCUCAAAUUCUCUGAAUAAAAAACCAAGUGUUAACAUUCCAACCUGUUGAGGAUCAAUAUUUUUGUAAAAUACAGUAAAAACAUAAAACAAAUAAAACAUAAACAUAGACAAAAUAGGA